UGAUAUGGUUCAUAAUUUGAAGGCCAUAGUAGCUCAUAUAUGUGCCAAAGGGCUAUGUUGUUCGGACUCUUCAAAAAUGUCAAGGGUGCCUGGGAUUCACCAAAAGUAGAGUAUUUUGAAGAAUCCAACACAGGUAUCUCCAUACAAGGAAUUUAAGCACAACUGAGCUUGAGGAAAAUCAAUAAUUUACCUUUAAGUUCUUAUUCAUAUUAGCUGUGACCGGGGAAGUUCUGCGGAAAUCCAGAAUAAUUUUAUUUCGCUGAUUUGGUUGAAGCUUUCUUAAGAAUACAUAGCUGCUCAGGCUGGGUGCUUCUUGUUAUAGUCUGCUUCUAUGAUCCUUUUCUGUUUCGGAGCAUAAGUUUCUAAUUGAUGGUCAAAUCGAAGAAAUUAAUGUGCCUGGAUGCAGUAUUGAGAUUCUGUACUUAAAAAGAGAUAUAGAGGAUACAACACCAAGAAGAAGGAAUCUUUCAAGAAGCAGUAAGGAGCUUUUGAAUAUUUCAUCUUCAAAAAAUUGUUUAUGGUUGAAGUUCAUAAUCGACUCAGGUAACUUGCAAACUGAACAAUACUUAGGAGUAAGGACAGAUUUCUAUUCUGGAAAGUUUUCAUCGAUGGCACAAGAUUAUAUCACAUCAUUGUCAUUCUUGCGUUAUAUUGUGGUCACUUUAUAUAAACUACGUUUCUCUGAAUUUGUACCAAUGAUGUAUAUAUAAAUGAUUUCUUAUGUGUGUCAAAUAAUUCAUAAUAA
This is a long non-coding RNA of Solanum pennellii, 745 nucleotides long. RefSeq lists it as uncharacterized. The transcript has 3 exons. The record is from RefSeq and is a predicted model, not a curated record. NCBI's taxonomy places the organism in Eukaryota, Viridiplantae, Streptophyta, Magnoliopsida, Solanales, Solanaceae.